RNAcentral lists this ribosomal RNA (449 nucleotides) under uncultured bacterium. Its description in RNAcentral is "bacterial SSU rRNA". It matches the Rfam family "Bacterial small subunit ribosomal RNA", at positions 340 to 780 of the family's 1533-position model. The record is from RNAcentral.
UACGGAAGGCAGCAGUGGGGAAUAUUGCACAAUGGGCGAAAGCCUGAUGCAGCUAUGCCGCGUGUAUGAAGAAGGCCUUAGGGUUGUAAAGUACUUUCAUCGGGGAGGAAAAACAAAACUAAUAAUUUUAUUUCUUGACGUUACCCGAAAAAGAAGCACCGGCUAACUCCGUGCCAGUAGCCGCGGUAAUACGGAGGGUGCUAGCGUUAAUCAGAAUUACUGGGCGUAAAGAGCACGUAGGUGGUUUUUUUAAGUCAGAUGUGAAAUCCCUGGGCUUAACCUAGGAACUGCAUUUUGAAACUGAAAUACUAGAGUAUCGUAGAGGGAGGUAGAAUUCUAGGUGUAGCGGUGAAAUGCGUAGAUAUCUGGAGGAAUACCUGUGGCGAAAGCGGCCUCCUAAACGAAUACUGACACUGAGGUGCGAAAGCGUGGGGAGCAAACAGGGAUUA